GGCCUUUUGAUUAUAAUUUAAGGUCUGACCUGCCCACUGAUUAUUUAAAUGGCCGCGGUAUUUUGACCGUGCAAAGGUAGCAUAAUCAUUAGUUUUUUAAUUGAAAGCUGGAAUGAAAGGUUUGAUAAAAAAAUUACUGUCUCAAUUUAAUUUUAAUUAGAAUUUUAUUUUUAAGUUAAAAAGCUUAAAUAUUUUUAAAAGACGAGAAGACCCUAUAGAGUUUUAUAAAAUUAUUUUUUGUAAUUUUAGGAUUUUAUUAUUAUUAUAAAUAAUUUUAUUUAAUUGGGGUGAUUAAAAAAUUUAAUAAACUUUUUUUAUAUUUUUACAUUUAUUAAUGAAAAUUUGAUCCAUAAAUUGUGAUUAAAAGAUUAAAUUACCUUAGGGAUAACAGCGUAAUUUUUUUUGAGAGUUCUAAUCGAAAAAAGAGAUUGCGACCUCGAUGUUGGAUUAAAGUUAAUUUUUGGUGUAGAAGCUAAAAAAUUAUGUCUGUUCGACCUUUAAAACUUUACA
RNAcentral lists this ribosomal RNA (510 nucleotides) under Bothrideres geminatus. RNAcentral's name for it is "partial 16S ribosomal RNA". The stretch from base 384 to 510 matches the Rfam family "Bacterial large subunit ribosomal RNA", at positions 2473 to 2600 of the family's 2925-position model. The record is from RNAcentral. Lineage: Eukaryota; Metazoa; Arthropoda; Insecta; Coleoptera; Bothrideridae.